Molecule: long non-coding RNA, 3966 nt
Organism: Pseudonaja textilis
Lineage: Eukaryota; Metazoa; Chordata; Lepidosauria; Squamata; Elapidae
Source: Ensembl
AUGAUGUUAAUGAAAUGUCUGCAAGAAAAACCACCAAGCUCAGAUACCACUGGGGCCUCCACCACUGUCUACUCAAUGGAAGCCAACGGUGAUCCCUGUGCCGAUUUUGAUCCAGAAAAGGAGGAAGGGGAAGUGCAGUACUUGGUUAAAUGGAAAGGUUGGUCAUACAUCCACAGCACAUGGGAAAGUGAGGACUCCUUGCAGCAGCAGAAAGUGAAAGGCAUUAAGAAGCUGGAGAACUUCAAGAAGAAAGAAGAAGACAUCAACAGUUGGUUGGAAAAGGUCACCCCAGAAGACGUAGAGUAUUUCAACUGCCAACAGGAACUGGCAGCUGAGUUGAACAAACAGUACCAGAUUGUGGAAAGAGUGAUUGUUCACAACCGCAAGUCCUCCUCUAAUGAGCCAGAGUACCUUUGCAAGUGGAUGGGACUUCCCUACGCAGAAUGUAGCUGGGAAGAUGAAGCUCUGAUCAGCAAAAAAUUCCAGUACUGUAUUGAUAGCUUCAACAAUAGGAACAACUCCAAAGCCAUGCCUACUCGGGACUGCAAGGUGCUGAAGCAAAGGCCUCGUUUUGUGGCCUUGAAGAACCAACCUUCCUACAUUGGUGGGGAGAAUCUGGAACUCCGCGACUAUCAGCUGGAGGGCUUGAAUUGGUUGGCUCAUUCUUGGUGCAAGAACAACAGUGUCAUCCUGGCGGACGAGAUGGGCUUGGGGAAGACCAUCCAGACCAUUUCUUUCCUCUGCUACCUCUUCUAUCAGCACCAGCUCUAUGGCCCCUUUCUGAUUGUGGUGCCUUUGUCAACCCUAACCUCAUGGCAGAGGGAGUUUGAGAUCUGGGCCCCUGAGGUCAACGUGGUUGUGUACAUUGGAGAUCAGCUGAGCAGGAAUGCUAUCCGUGAGUAUGAGUGGGUCCAUUCUCAGACCAAACGGUUGAAGUUCAACGUGCUGAUUACAACCUAUGAGAUCCUCCUGAAAGACAAGGCCGUUUUGGGAAGCAUCAACUGGGCCUUCCUAGGAGUGGAUGAAGCCCACCGCUUGAAGAAUGACGAUUCUUUGCUCUACAAGACACUGAUCGACUUCAAGUCCAACCACCGCCUGCUCAUCACUGGGACACCCCUUCAGAAUUCCCUGAAGGAACUGUGGUCCCUGCUGCAAUUCAUCAUGCCAGAGAAGUUCGAAUCCUGGGAAGACUUUGAAGAGGACCAUGGCAAAGGACGAGAGAACGGGUACCAGAGCCUGCAUAAGGUCCUGGAGCCCUUUCUCCUGCGCAGGGUGAAGAAGGACGUGGAAAAAUCCCUCCCAGCCAAAGUAGAGCAGAUCCUGAGGGUGGAGAUGUCUGCCCUCCAGAAGCAGUAUUACAAAUGGAUUUUAACAAGGAAUUACAAAGCCCUGUCCAAGGGAACACGUGGCAGCACUUCUGGCUUCCUGAACAUCGUGAUGGAGCUGAAGAAAUGUUGCAAUCACUGUUACCUGAUCAAACCUCCAGAAGAGAAUGAGAGGGAAAACAGCCAGGAGAGGCUGCAGUCUUUAAUCAGGAGCAGUGGGAAACUCAUCCUUCUGGACAAACUGCUCAGCAGGCUCCGUGCGAGGGGCAACCGAGUCCUCAUCUUCUCCCAGAUGGUGAGAAUGUUGGACAUCUUGGCGGAAUAUCUGACCAUCAAGCACUACCCUUUCCAGCGCCUGGACGGUUCUAUCAAAGGAGAAAUCCGGAAGCAGGCUCUGGAUCAUUUCAACGCCGAAGGCUCGGAGGACUUCUGCUUUCUACUCUCCACACGUGCUGGCGGCCUGGGGAUCAACUUGGCGUCGGCUGACACAGUGGUGAUCUUCGAUUCGGACUGGAACCCCCAGAAUGACCUACAGGCUCAGGCUCGGGCUCAUCGGAUUGGCCAAAAGAAACAAGUAAAUAUCUAUCGCUUGGUUACAAAGGGAACAGUGGAAGAGGAGAUUAUAGAAAGAGCAAAGAAGAAAAUGGUGCUGGACCAUCUUGUGAUACAGCGAAUGGACACCACAGGCCGGACAGUUUUGGACAACAGCUCUGAUAGAUCCAAGACAAACCCCUUCAACAAGGAGGAACUGACCGCCAUUUUGAAAUUUGGAGCCGAAGAACUUUUUAAAGAACCCGAAGGGGAAGAAUCUGAACCACAAGAAAUGGACAUUGAGGAAAUCUUACGCCUGGCUGAGACACGAGAGAAUGAACCAUCCACAAGUGCAACAGACGAACUGCUUUCACAAUUUAAAGUAGCAAACUUUGCUACAACAGAAGAGGAAGAAGCCGAGGCGGAAGAGAAAUCUCAGAAGGAGUGGGAAAGCAUCAUUCCUGAGGAACAAAGGAAGAAAGUGGAAGAAGAGGAGCGGCAGAAAGAACUUGAGGAGAUAUACAUGCUGCCCAGGAUUCGCAGCUCAGCCAAAAAGGUAAUUUUUCUAGUCGAAUCAGAUGUUGAAAUAAAGAGGAAGCUCCAGAGGUCUUCGGGCUCAGAUACCGAGACAGAGGACUCUGAUGAUGACAAAAGGCCCAAACGCAGAGGACGCCCUCGCAGUGUUCGGAAGGACACAGUGGAAGGCUUUACAGACCCUGAAAUCAGAAGGUUGGCAGAGUCAAAAAUUUGCUAUGGAGCACCUUUAUUACGUUCCAUCUCCCUUUUUAGACUGGAAUGCCUCGCUCGGGAUGCUGAACUGGUAGAGAAAUCGGUAGCUGAUCUGAAACGUUUGGGAGAACUUCUCCAUAACAGUUGUGCUUCAGCCAUGUGCAAAGGAUCUGGACCAGGGAAGAGAAAGGGGCCCACAAUUAAGAUCUCUGGAGUCCAGGUGAAUGUGAAAGCAAUUAUUCAACAUGAGGAGGAGUUUGCGAUGCUCCAUCAGACCAUUCCCAGUGACCCAGUGGAGAGGGCAAGGUUUCGUCUGAACUCCCGUGUCAAAUCUGCCCAUUUUGAUGUAGACUGGGGAGUGGAAGAGGAUUCUUCCUUGCUGCGGGGGAUUUAUGAGCAUGGAUGUGGGAACUGGGAGCUCAUCAAGUCAGACCCAGAACUGAACCUCACUGAAAAGAUUUUACCAGCUGAGACAGAUAAAAAGCCACAGGGGAAGCAGCUCCAGGCGCGAGUAGAUUAUCUGAUGAAGCUUAUCAAAAGAGACAUGAAGAGGAAAGAGAACCCGAACAAGACAGAGGAGGUCAGUUCCGUAACCAAGCUAAAUUUGCUCAAGUGGGCUUCAUUAAUGCUACGUAUUAUUUGGGAAGUUAGCCCAUGGAAAACUCAGGCUUCCAGUCAGUGUGGCAGAAAUCAUGGACACAGGAAGGAAGGGGCUAAAGUAAAGAAAUGGAAGGGGCCCUUUAUCAGGAAGAAACUGCUGGGUCAGGGUCCCGUCCACAUUACGGCAGGAAGUGACCCUGUCCCCAUUGAAGAAGAGGAAGAGGAUGAGUUAGACCAUGCAACCUUCACCAUUUGCAAAGAGCUGAUGAGGCCAGUUAAGAAGUCCCUGAAGCAGCUGGAUAAGCCAGAAAGAGGACUUACAGACCACGACCAGCUGGAGCAAACACGGAGUUGCCUACUCAAGAUCGGAGACCACAUUGCUGAAUGUUUGAAAAUCCACACUGAACAGGAAGUCUUUAACGUAUGGAGAAGGAAUCUAUGGGUAUUUGUCUCCAAGUUUACUGAAUUUAAUGCCAAGAAAUUACAUAAGAUAUAUAAGAUGGCUAACAAAAAGCGAUCCCGGGAACAGGAGGUAAGAACAGAGGUGUGUGUGUUUGUGUUGUGCAGUAGAAUGCAAGGAAGGAGAGAGAGGGAAGGAAUGGGAACAUCUUGGAGCUGGAAGGGACCUUGGAGGUCUUCUAAACCAACCCCCUACUCAAGCAGGAGACCCUAUCCCAUCUUGGACAAGUGGCUCUCCAGUCUCCAUUGGUGGACUUGCAUUGCUUUUUCUUCAAGUUGUCUGCCAAAUGCAACUGUGUGUGUGUGUGUGGGGGUCCCCUAG